UGAGGCUGAGGCAUUUACACUGAUGUACAAUCAGCAUUACAGCGCAAGAGUGGUCUUCCAGCAGUGAUACAUCUUGAGUCUGCUAGCUCUAUGCUAUGUCAUUGGAGGGAAAAAAAGGAAAAGAGAAAGAAGAGAGCUGAAGCAGCCCAAAAGCCUUGUUCCUGGUUAGAGGAGAGUUACACAGCAAGGUGGUAGCGCUGAGAAGAGGCAGCUGGGCCCUGCUCUGCUCCUUGCCCAUGAUGAAUGCACAAAGAUGAGGAGAAAUGACACGGAGCCGCCUGCUGUGGAAAAAAAGCAGCUCUCGGGAAAUGGGACCACGUUUUCCUGCUGUUAAUGAAUGAGGACCUGCUCUCUGGCCCACAGACCAACUGGCAUAGCCUGGCAAUCGACCGCGUAGCUCCUUGACAUCAAGGAGCACAAAUUUAAUAUGAAACUAAAGUCAUGCUUCUCCUCUGCUUGCUGUUCAGCUGGAACAAAUGCUUCCAUUUCCCCUGCCCAGAUAUCAAGCAAGGAAAUAGCCAGAACCAGAGCAGGCAUUUUUAUUCACAGGGCAUAAAGAAAUGCCUUUUUGCGUCUCUGUCUCAGUCACACUGCUUUAGUACUGUUUGUUUUUCUGGCAAAUACCUUUUCAUCUGAUAAUCACUCACAGGCUCCCAAGUUCUUAAAACGUGCAGCUGCGUGCAACAAGUGUUCACAGUCCCUUAGACCUGACUUCACUGACACCAACCACAGCGGAUUUCAGAGCGGUUACAGAAUGCUUUUCUUUUAGCUGCUCACACCUGGGUUAAUCAAUUUGUAUUUACAGUCCACAGCUAAUUCCUAUGGGAGUUAAUUGUGGCAGAAUUACAGUUGCUGACAACACAGCUGCCGUCAUUUCUUGUUUGCCUCCAACAGCAGAGACUUUCUUGUAAUGGUGAGAAGAGGAAAUAAAGGGAAAAGGGAGCUGGACACAAAACUACAUAUUGUUGUAUCUGCUUGUUGCAGCGAGGGUGUGAGGAAAGCAUCCCCCUGUGGCUCUGCUGUGUGCUCACACCAAAAGAACUGUCCCAGUGCUCUUCUCUCUGCACACAGCUGCUUGGGGCUGCACGGUUUGGAUUUGAAGCAUUGCUCCAUUGCUGUGCAGGCACGAACAGUGAAUCUCCACAUCCAUACAGUGUCCGCAGCACGUGUUCCUGACUCUGUCAUUUCUGAUGCAAACAGAAUUAAAAAGAGAAGAGUGGUCAGACUGAGGAAUGGGGUGCAGGAGCUGGCACAGCUGGAAAUGAGGGGUUGAUCAGCUCAGGUUACACUGCUGACAGAGAAAUACCAUGGAUCACAGGCCAGGCUGGAGACUGCAAGGAGGCAGGAUGCUGGGCUCUGGGCCUGGGCUCUGUGCUCUGUGCUCUGUGCUCGGCUUCCCGGAGCCAGGCUGUGGGGCUCUUCUCAGCCAGAAAACACUUCCCGUCUCCAUGUAAAGUCUCCGGAGAAGGAACAAUCAUUAGGAGGCACUCUGUCAAGAAAAAAAGCUGUGGGUGCUCUUCUCAGUCUGUUAGUUUUUCCAUUCUCAGACAAAUAUAGUCACAGUGGUGGAGUUCAUAUAUGGAAAGCAAUUCUGAUCUCUUGGUUCCAAAUCUUGCAUGAAAGAAAUCUCCAUCAGGGUGUGCAUUUCUUGAGCAGGGCAGCCCCUCUCACUGAAACCAGCAGUGUGCCUUUACAAGUGAGUGCCGGAUUUUUUCACUGAACCGCAGAAGAAAUCCAGAAAAUCCCAGUGGAGUAAUUUUACAAUGAAAACACCUUGACUGAGCUGCCGAGUCCUCUCUAGGGCUGGUGGGAACCGAGAAGCUAAGGCUGGGCUCAGCUAUGUGAAUCUAGGCUGAUUUCCAGCUACAUGAAGUGAAAUUCAUGACACAGAUGGAAGUUGUAUUCUUUCUGCAUGACGUGUGUUGCCCUGCUGGGAAGUCAGGUUUGACUGCACUGAGGUCACUGGGAUGACACUGCCCAAGGUGAAACUGGAGAUGAGAUUCAGGGACUGGAUCUUGUCAGACAGCUCCUUUGAUGGCUGCGGGUGCUUGUCUCGCCGAGCUGUGUGAUGCAGCAGGGUUAUGUGUUGGUCCUCUCCCUGCAGCAGGCUUCCAAGCACAAACUGAAAGUGCUGCGUCAGGACAUUGGCGUCACCCAAGUAAGGAUCCCAGGGUCAGUCCACCAUCUAGGGCAGCUACAAGGUGACUGGAGAGCCAUGGCAAUCUUAUUCCCACAGAAAGGACGUCCAGCAGUAGAGGCGCCGAUCUGGCCCCCACCCACCUCCAGGACAGCGAUGUGUUUCUCCACUCAGAUGCAGAUAGAAAUGUCUGAGGACCUCACGUUGAAACUUUAAGGCAGGUAUCUCUCAGGAUCCAUCGUGUUUCUGGCAGUGUAACAGGAGAAACACAGCUUUGGUCUCCAACCUCUCUUUGGGAUUGUAACAACAGUAGCUCCAGGUUAAUCAGAAGUCACUUAAAUGUUUAAAAUAAAUGUAUUAAUUGAGACCCAGAAAUAGUCUUUACCAACGACUUUAGCUUGUCUAACUUAAAAAGGAGUGGGAGCUGGCUUUUUACAAAAUGGCUUGCAGAGCUGGAUACAUAAUUCCUCCUCUAAUAAACGGCAG
Numida meleagris (helmeted guineafowl) is the source of this 2623-nucleotide long non-coding RNA. RefSeq lists it as uncharacterized. NCBI's taxonomy places the organism in Eukaryota, Metazoa, Chordata, Aves, Galliformes, Numididae. The transcript has 3 exons. The record is from RefSeq and is a predicted model, not a curated record.